RNAcentral lists this ribosomal RNA (374 nucleotides) under uncultured organism. RNAcentral describes it as "partial 16S ribosomal RNA". It matches the Rfam family "Bacterial small subunit ribosomal RNA", at positions 527 to 896 of the family's 1533-position model. The record is from RNAcentral.
GUAGGUGGCAAGCGUUGUCCGGAAUUAUUGGGCGUAAAGCGCGCGCAGGCGGUCCUUUAAGUCUGAUGUGAAAGCCCACGGCUCAACCGUGGAGGGUCAUUGGAAACUGGGGGACUUGAGUACAGAAGAGGAAAGCGGAAUUCCAAGUGUAGCGGUGAAAUGCGUAAAGAUUUGGAGGAACACCAGUGGCGAAGGCGGCUUUCUGGUCUGUAACUGACGCUGAGGCGCGAAAGCGUGGGGAGCAAACAGGAUUAGAUACCCUGGUAGUCCACGCCGUAAACGAUGAGUGCUAAGUGUUAGGGGGUUUCCCGCCCCCCUUAGUGCUGCAGCUAACGCAUUAAGCACUCCGCCUGGGGAGUACGGCCGCAAGGCUG